CGCCUUGCUCCACUCUACUCGGACAACAGGGGCAGGACCCAGCCACUGUGAUGAGCUGGUCUGUCAUGGAAGAGAGAUGCCAACUCUGUGACUCAAAAACAAAUCACAAAUUUUAGCCAUCUGGCAGCAGAGAUCUCAGGCAAGACAAUGUUCUCAACGGACUGUCAUGGUUUACCCAACCAAAAUCUAUGCCUUCAGUGUUGUUUUCUACUACAUGACUUCAAUCAGCUUUAUUUGCAGACCAGACUUCUUUCAAGGAGACCCACUUCUUCCAAGGUCACAGCUUCUGCACACGAUUGCUAAGAAGUCAAGUCCCACGGAACUCAGACUGACCCACGGAACAUAGACAGACCUGCUUCUUCCUUACAAACUGAAAUCCUGCACGGUAACGGAGGUGUCAUCCCCGAGCUUCACUGCCAUUCCCGCACACUGCGAGCAGGCAACUUGGGUUAACGGUGCGGCCUGCACAGCCUGGGAUAUGCUGGCAUAAUGCGCGAGUGGCAAAAGCUUCCUUGGUGAAGGCAUUUUAGUUCAGGGGUCACAAACCUUUUUUAUAAUAGGCCAGAGAAUAAAUACCUUCAGUUUGUGGGGCCGCACAGAGGCUGUUGAGAUGACCCAGUUCUACCCCAGUAAAGUGAGAACAUGGUCACAGACCCUAACCGAAGGGCAGGGGCCAGCUCCGAUGUCUUAUUCUGCCUGAGCGGCUGUAUCAGGGAUUCGUGACCUGACCUGGGUGGCUUAUCGACAACACUAGUUCAUGUAUCACCAUUCUGGAGGCUGGAAGUCCAAGGUGAAGGUGCUAUCAGAUUCAAUGUCUGGUGAGUACCUGCUUCCUGGUUUGGGGAUGGGCCUUCUCCCUGUGACCUCAGAAUGAUGGAAGGGUGAGGCAGCUCUCUGGGGUCUCCUUUACAAGAAUGCUCACCCAUUAAGAGGGCCCCACCCUCUUGGUCCAGUCACCAUCCAAAGCUCACUUUGUAAUUUCAUCCCACUGGAGACUUGGUUUCAACAUAUUAAUUUUUUGUUGUUGUUGUUGUUGUUGUUGUUGGGGAGGAGCACAUUCUGUUGAUAGUAUCCAAUAAAACUUUAUUCUGAUAGACUUACAUCUGAAUUUCAUUUAAUUUUGUGUGUUAUGAAAUAUUCUUCAAUCACUAGAAAAAUGUAAAAAUCCAUGCUUAACUUCUAAGCCAUAGUUUGCCAACCCAUAUUUAGAU
Molecule: long non-coding RNA, 1211 nt
Organism: Condylura cristata (star-nosed mole)
Lineage: Eukaryota; Metazoa; Chordata; Mammalia; Eulipotyphla; Talpidae
Exons: 3
Source: RefSeq, a predicted model, not a curated record